This 82-nucleotide transfer RNA is filed under the name Chrysosplenium lanuginosum. RNAcentral describes it as "tRNA-Val". The record is from RNAcentral. Lineage: Eukaryota; Viridiplantae; Streptophyta; Magnoliopsida; Saxifragales; Saxifragaceae.
AGGGCUAUAGCUCAGUUGGUAGAGCAACUCGUUUACAAUUAGAGCGCAUGGAGCCAUCUCCUUAUCUUUCUUUUAAGAAAAA